This 30-nucleotide small RNA is filed under the name Bombyx mori (domestic silkworm). RNAcentral's name for it is "ovarian small RNA-28815". Lineage: Eukaryota; Metazoa; Arthropoda; Insecta; Lepidoptera; Bombycidae. The record is from RNAcentral.
UCGCUACCUCCACGGCCACUGACUGGCCUA